UAAAAACAACAUGAAGAGGCAUUUGAGAGAACAAAAGGCGAGAGGGAGAGGGAGAAGAAAAGAGAGUGGGAGAGGGAGGAAAAAACCGAGAGGGAGAGAGGCAAGGAUCAUGGGUGAGGCUGUGAAAACAGAGAAACCAUGUGUUAUAUGAUAAGAUGCUCCUCUAAAGACUGACAAUUUUACUUGGGAUUUAAGGUACUAAUCAAGAAGUCUAUAAAGGAAAAAGAUGAGUGUAUAUACACAUAUGUAUGUAUUUGUGUAUGUGCAUAUAUAUAAUUUUAAAAAACAAAUACUAGAGCUGUAGAUGUUUGCAGGAAAGAAUAUAGUUCAGGAAGAAAUGUUCGAAAUGCUUGAAAAUGCAGUGUAAUGAAUUGACUGCCAGCUUCAACAUUUAUUCAGUCUUUCCUUGCACCUAAACAUAAUAAAUGAAGGUAUACUCUAACGUGAGAAGAAUUUCUUUCUUGGUUGAGGAGCUCCUGAAGUUGAGGAAGGGAAAGGAGAAACUGCAGAUCCCCGUUACACGAAGCCUGGGGUUGGAGCAAGCAGUGGAAUUCGUCCUCUUCCGCAUUCAGACAGGGACACAAGCCACAGCUCUAGCUCCCUCCCAGGCAGAAGGGAGAACAUUCUGGGAGUACAGUGAGGAGAGAAGGGAUAAGGAUGAGUGAAUAAAGUGGAGAGGGAGCAGCUUCACAGAGCAUUGUUCUAAGUCCCCCCAUACUGUGCCUGUGAUUACUAUGAAUUCCUUCACUCCUGAUGGUCACAGCAAGAAGGUUGUCAAGCAACUGAGUAUUUGCAUUUGGACCAAUGCAAAGAUAGGAUGCUUCCAUCUGAAGAUUCACUUUUUAAUAGAUAACUUUACAUCUGGCUCUCAGAUCUCCAUGUGUAGCAUCAAAAAGCAUUAAGUAAAUUGCUGUGGAUUAUGUCCUCAAUGAAAUAGUACAGAGGUAUAUAAGGCACUACUGUUUCAUCUUUGGAAAGUAAAAGUGAUAGGUGAGACAGUAAAUCCAUAAUCCAUCCUUUAUUCCUCCUCUCCCAUCAAAUCUACAACCUGGCCCCAUCAAUGUGCAUUUCAUACUUAUUUCCCGUGUCUCCUCUCUCUCCCUGCUGACUCCCACUGCUCUAGUUGAGGUUUUCAUCCUCUCUAUUCCAGACAGAUACACCAUGAAAUAGCUGUUGAAUGUCUGCCUUGUGUAUUAUCCUAUCCUCUGUGCUCAGAUAGAGUGAGAGAAGAUACACAUGGGUGCCUGCCUUCAUGGAGCCUAUAGUUUCUGUGGGGAAAACAAAGUGAACAACCAAUUACACAAUUCAUUAUUACAGUGGUGAAGAAUGAAUUAAAGACAAAGUGAAGGGUACUAGAGAGCAUAUGGUACCCCAAAAAUGCUUCCUUUAGAAGUUAAUAUGUGGGCUGAGAUUUGAGGCAUAGGUAAGAAUUAACUUGGUGUAGCAGAUCAUGAGGUCAGGAGUUCGAGACCAGCCUGGCCAACAUGGUGAAACCCUGUCUCUACUAAAAAUACAAAAAUUAGCCAGGCCUGGUGGGGGGUGCCUGUAAUCCCAGCUACUUGGGGGACUGAGGCAGGAGAAUCACUUGAACCUGGGAGGCAGAGGUUGCAGUGAGCUGAGAUCAUGCCACUGCACUCCAGCCUGGGCGACAGAGCGAGACUCCGUCUCAAAAAAAA
Long non-coding RNA from Nomascus leucogenys (northern white-cheeked gibbon), 1676 nucleotides. RefSeq lists it as uncharacterized. The record is from RefSeq and is a predicted model, not a curated record. Lineage: Eukaryota; Metazoa; Chordata; Mammalia; Primates; Hylobatidae. The transcript is spliced from 2 exons.